Chiroxiphia lanceolata (lance-tailed manakin) is the source of this 170-nucleotide long non-coding RNA. RefSeq lists it as uncharacterized. NCBI's taxonomy places the organism in Eukaryota, Metazoa, Chordata, Aves, Passeriformes, Pipridae. The record is from RefSeq and is a predicted model, not a curated record. The transcript is spliced from 3 exons.
CUCUUCAAGCUUGCAAAAUCCUGGCUCUGGGCCUUCUAGAUCUUAUUCAAACGUCUAGUUUACCUAAUUUAUUACUGUGUGUGUACUACUCCUAUUCUUUCUACAAUAAGGCCUUUGGUCCAGUGAGCAGAACAGAACAUGAUAUUAACCAAAAUGUUAUUUUAGGAGAU